GCCGGGGAUAAAGCUCAGUAGUGGUAGAGUACUUGCCUAGCAUUCUUGAGGCCCUGGGUUCAAUCCCCAAUCCUGCA
Molecule: transfer RNA, 77 nt
Filed under: Marmota monax (woodchuck)
Lineage: Eukaryota; Metazoa; Chordata; Mammalia; Rodentia; Sciuridae
Description: tRNA.Ala
Source: RNAcentral